GUAUAUAUAUCCAAAAGGUUAAGGAAAAAAAUUGUGAAUUUUUUGUUUAAGAGUUCGAUUCUCUUUAUUUACC
Molecule: transfer RNA, 73 nt
Filed under: Theileria orientalis
Lineage: Eukaryota; Apicomplexa; Aconoidasida; Piroplasmida; Theileriidae
Description: tRNA-His
Rfam family: tRNA
About the family: Transfer RNA (tRNA) molecules are approximately 80 nucleotides in length. Their secondary structure includes four short double-helical elements and three loops (D, anti-codon, and T loops).
Source: RNAcentral